RNAcentral lists this ribosomal RNA (432 nucleotides) under uncultured soil bacterium. RNAcentral's name for it is "bacterial SSU rRNA". It matches the Rfam family "Bacterial small subunit ribosomal RNA", at positions 26 to 453 of the family's 1533-position model. The record is from RNAcentral.
AGAUUGAACGCUGGCGGCAUGCCUUACACAUGCAAGUCGAACGGCAGCACGGGAGCAAUCCUGGUGGCGAGUGGCGAACGGGUGAGUAAUAUAUCGGAACGUGCCCAGUCGUGGGGGAUAACGUAGAGAAAUUUACGCUAAUACCGCAUACGAUCCAAGGAUGAAAGCGGGGGACCGUAAGGCCUCGCGCGACUGGAGCGGCUGAUAUCAGAUUAGCUUGUUGGUGAGGUAAAAGCUCACCAAGGCGACGAUCUGUAGCUGGUUUGAGAGAACGACCAGCCACACUGGGACUGAGACACGGCCCAGACUCCUACGGGAGGCAGCAGUGGGAAUUUUGGACAAGUGGGCGAAAGCCGUGAUCCAGCAAUGCCGCGUGCGAAGGAGAAGGCCGUUGGUUCGUAAACGUCGUCGUUUUGUACGGAGACGAAAGGU